This 735-nucleotide ribosomal RNA is filed under the name uncultured Enterobacteriaceae bacterium. RNAcentral's name for it is "bacterial SSU rRNA". It matches the Rfam family "Bacterial small subunit ribosomal RNA", at positions 97 to 867 of the family's 1533-position model. Lineage: Bacteria; Pseudomonadati; Pseudomonadota; Gammaproteobacteria; Enterobacterales; Enterobacteriaceae. The record is from RNAcentral.
GGCGGACGGGUGAGUAAUACGUGGGAACAUGCCUUUCAGUACGGAACAACGCUUGGAAACGAGUGCUAAUACCGUAUACGCCCUUAGGGGGAAAGAUUUAUCGCUGAAAGAUUGGCCCGCGCUAGAUUAGCUAGUUGGUAAGGUAACGGCUUACCAAGGCGACGAUCUAUAGCUGGUUUGAGAGGAUGAUCAGCCACACUGGGACUGAGACACGGCCCAGACUCCUACGGGAGGCAGCAGUGGGGAAUAUUGGACAAUGGGGGCAACCCUGAUCCAGCGAUGCCGCGUGAGUGAUGAAGGCCUUAGGGUUGUAAAACUCUUUCAGGGGUGAAGAUAAUGACGGUAACCCCAGGAGAAGCUCCGGCUAACUCCGUGCCAGCAGCCGCGGUAAUACGGAGGGAGCUAGCGUUGUUCGGAAUUACUGGGCGUAAAGCGCGCGUAGGCGGCUUGGCAAGUAGAGGGUGAAAUCCCGGAGCUUAACUCCGGAACUGCCUCCUAAACUGCUGAGCUAGAAUCCUGGAGAGGUGAGUGGAAUUCCUAGUGUAGAGGUGAAAUUCGUAGAUAUUAGGAAGAACACCAGUGGCGAAGGCGACUCACUGGACAGGUAUUGACGCUGAGGUGCGAAAGCGUGGGGAGCGAACAGGAUUAGAUACCCUGGUAGUCCACGCCGUAAACGAUGGGUGCUAGGUGUUGGGUAGCUUGCUAUUCAGUGCCCGAAGCUAACGCGUUAAGCAC